CAGUAGCCACGGUAAUACGUAGGUGGCAAGCGUUGUCCGGAAUUAUUGGGCGUAAAGAGCUCGUAGGUGGUUUGUCGCGUCGUUUGUGUAAGCCCGCAGCUUAACUGCGGGACUGCAGGCGAUACGGGCAUAACUUGAGUGCUGUAGGGGAGACUGGAAUUCCUGGUGUAGCGGUGGAAUGCGCAGAUAUCAGGAGGAACACCGAUGGCGAAGGCAGGUCUCUGGGCAGUAACUGACGCUGAGGAGCGAAAGCAUGGGGAGCGAACAGGAUUAGAUACCCCCGUAGUCCCUGUCUCUUAUA
Molecule: ribosomal RNA, 301 nt
Filed under: uncultured bacterium
Lineage: Bacteria
Description: partial 16S ribosomal RNA
Rfam family: Bacterial small subunit ribosomal RNA
Source: RNAcentral